UUCUUUGCAUCGUUGUGUUAGCAAAUUUAACACAAGAAUCUUCACGAUAAGUAUGAACUCGUUGUAAAGCUUCUCCGAGUCUCCAAAGAGCGGAUAGUGGACGAGAGAAUGCUGAAGACGUGAGCAUCAUUGAACCAUCCUGGAAUUUGGAAAACUUUUAUUUAUUUAUUUCAGUUUUAGAAAUAAAUGUUUCAAUUGUAUAGAGAAUAUUUUUUGUAGCCAUACCUUCGAAGGUUCAAUAUUCGUCAGAGCACUUCCAUGGCAAUUGGUGUGUCCUUCAUCCAAUCCAGUAUCCACGUUUAUCCAAUGAACUUCUCCAUUGAAUAAACCAACGAUAAGAUGUUCAUCGUCGACCUAAAUUAUUUUAUUAAACAAUUUUUUUCAAUUUUGAUUUUAAAUUUUUCCUUUAUGAAAUUUUAGAAU
This is a non-coding RNA of Caenorhabditis elegans, 423 nucleotides long. Ensembl annotates it as ncRNA. Its record names the gene anr-11. The record is from Ensembl. NCBI's taxonomy places the organism in Eukaryota, Metazoa, Nematoda, Chromadorea, Rhabditida, Rhabditidae.